Molecule: unclassified non-coding RNA, 104 nt
Filed under: fungal sp.
Lineage: Eukaryota; Fungi
Description: partial internal transcribed spacer region
Source: RNAcentral
AAGUUGUAACAAGGUUUCCGUAGGUGAUUUACGUCUACUUAAAACUGUACUGAGACUUUAUUUUACAAUAAAGACAACUUUUAGCAACGGAUCUCUUGGCUCUC